AGCUCUAGAAUAGCUAUACAGCAAUAGCCACUGUAACAGCUAUAGUGAGUAGUGCUAUGGGAAGGGAACCUGGUUUUUCUUUUCUUUCUACUCCAGGGCGAGUCUGAACCACCCCUCACCCCUUUGUUGGACAAAGAUAUUCCUGAAAAAGUUACACUGUAAAAGUGAGAGCUUGAAGGGGCUUUGAAGAUUCUUCGUUAUACCAUAAGAAGCCUAAUUGAAAUGACUCGAAGACUCACGUAGUUACUUAAUGGAAGAAUCUAAGACAUUCAGAACUGUGCUUUUCCUGAAGUCUCCCAUCAUUAAAAAGAAAAGGAAUUUUCUGGAGUUCCAUCAGACCAGCUGCUCAUGUGGAAUAAAUGGAAGAGGCUCAGAAGCACACGUUGAAUUCCUGCUGAAGCUGGUUAGAGUUGACACAGUGAAGGUGUUUCGAGGGCCUAAUGAAAUUGUACAUGAACCUGAGAAAACAACCAGCUGAAACAUUUCCAAGAAAGACAGGUGUGCAAACUAUUCCUGCUGAGAGUAGGUGCAGUGCUGUUUACAUUACUGUUCUUGGCCGAGCUGAGCUUUCCCAUUUCCUCAGAGUAAAUAUGUGUACGUAUUAGAUAGAGACAGAUGCAUAGGAUUUGAGUGCGGUGGUGCUAUCAUCAGAUCGGAAUAAUAACAGGCUUUGUUGACCCCACAAUACCGGAUCUAUUUUUAACUCUCAGUUUAUUUUAUGUCAGCUUUAGUUUUCUUGGAACUGAGAAAUACCACAUAUUUAACCGCACAUUUUUAAGGAAAAUAGUGGUAAUAUAAUGAAUAGGAAAUGUUACUUCCUAACUCCCAUUAAUGAGUGUGCAAGGUCAUUUUUUCCGAUGUCCUUUUUAACUGAGCAGACA
This is a long non-coding RNA of Herpailurus yagouaroundi (jaguarundi), 881 nucleotides long. RefSeq lists it as uncharacterized. The record is from RefSeq and is a predicted model, not a curated record. The transcript has 3 exons. NCBI's taxonomy places the organism in Eukaryota, Metazoa, Chordata, Mammalia, Carnivora, Felidae.